RNAcentral lists this ribosomal RNA (520 nucleotides) under uncultured Paraglomus. RNAcentral's name for it is "SSU rRNA". It matches the Rfam family "Eukaryotic small subunit ribosomal RNA", at positions 569 to 1092 of the family's 1831-position model. Lineage: Eukaryota; Fungi; Glomeromycota; Glomeromycetes; Paraglomerales; Paraglomeraceae. The record is from RNAcentral.
AGCAGCCGCGGUAAUUCCAGCUCCAAUAGCGUAUAUUAAAGUUGUUGCAGUUAAAAAGCUCGUAGUUGAACUUCAGGCCUGGCUGGACGGUCCGCCCUCUGGGUGAGCACUGUCUGUGGUCGGGUCCUACCUUCUGGCGAAGCGGCAUGGCCUUAACCGGCCGUGGCGGGGAACCAGGACUUUUACUGUGAAAAAAUUAGAGUGUUCAAAGCAGGCACGCGCUUGAAUACAUUAGCAUGGAAUAAUGGAAUAGGACAAUGGUUCUAUUUGUUGGUUUCUAGGACCGUUGUAAUGAUUAAUAGGGAUAGUUGGGGGCAUUAGUAUUCAAUUGUCAGAGGUGAAAUUCUUGGAUUUAUUGAAGACUAACUACUGCGAAAGCAUUUGCCAAGGAUGUUUUCAUUAAUCAAGAACGAAAGUUAGGGAUCGAAGACGAUCAGAUACCGUCGUAGUCUUAACCAUAAACUAUGCCGAUAGGGAUCGGAUGAUGUUAAUUUUUAAUGUACUCAUUCGGCGCCUUAAC